CCCCCUCGAGGGGCUCCUCCUGGCCUGCCCUGCCCUCCGCUCGCCAACCUUUGGCCGCCCUGAGCCGUCGGGAGCCCGGCGACCGUCCCGAGCGCCUGGCAGCCCCGGCCUAGCGAGAGCAGAGCCGAAUGGGCGGGGGUGGUGGCUGUCUGAAGCAGCCCAGAUCUCGGGGUGAUAGCGUUAAUUACCGUCCUGUGGUGCCAAAGUCUGCCGGGCUCCGUGCGGAACAGAACGAAAUGACAUAUUCCCUGCCCCAAGGAGUUCACAAUCUAACGUGGAUCUGACAGCACGAGGGCGUGACACAGCACCGCGGGGUUGCAGCAGCAGAAUCGUGCUGUUGAGGUGACUCAGUUCACUUCAGAUCUGCAGAUGAGAGAAGAUGACAGCUCCUAAGCCCUCUCGGAAUAGCAGCACGGAUCUGACCACACAAGGGUGUGACAGCACUGCAAGGCUGCAGCCAUGGGGUUGCAGGAUCCAGUCCCUGGGAAACAGUAAAAAUGCUCUCAUUAGCCUAUCUGGCAAUCGAAGCACGCAGAACGCAUUUUAAACUAAACAGCCCAUUUGGAAUACGGACUGACUGGUGUUUACUAGAUGCCUCAAGUUUGCUUCUUCAUGCAUUUCCUUCACCUGGACAACCUGCCAUCUCCAGGGAGCAGGACCUAGGAUUCUGGAAGCUGUUUUAUGUGAUCUGGAGUAGUCAUCUUCAUCCUCUGCUUCCCUGCUGGCUCCAAGUGACUUUGUGACUCUGCUCCGUAGAGACUGAACCUGGCUAGCACAGAAAAACACAUGGAAAGAUUGUUUAAAGUAUCAUUUUAGAGCUCCCAUUUUCACUAAUUCAACGUCUCUUUCAGUGAUAGAAAUUGACCGCUAGUAGCUUAAAUUGACUGGUGGAUAUUAAUGGUCCAUUUCCACCUCUGUUUCUAUGGAAAUAGAUGUCAGUCUGGUGAGGGGGAAAUGAUUUUAAACAUAUACUUCAUAAAAGCUGUCAUGUACCUGAUGUCCAUUUUUCCCUAAAAUCUGACUCAGAAAGGUUUCUGGUAGCAACAACAAAGCACUGCUGACUGGUUUCAGCUGUUAGUGCAGGACUGGGCACCAAACUCAUUUUUCAAACAAAUGCAAAACAAAAUACCAAGUCCAAUGGCUUCUAGAUCAUGACUUGUCAUUGUCUUGCAUCCUGUGUAAUAAUUCACUCUGUAAAAAAGUAUGCAUAAAAUGCUGUGAAAAUAGGAUGGGAGAAGCACUACAAAAAUGAGAUAAGAUGACUUCACUCCUGCAUUAAGUAUUCUUGUAAAGAACAAGGCAGAAUGUGAAGGAAAUGUGGGGAAGAAAAAAUGGCAAAUUUUAAAUAUCUGCUAAAUGGAGCAUAGACUUUGUUGGGUACCUUGGCUCUCCAGAGAGGCUUUACAAGUAAGUAGAAGGACAUUGGCUUACAGCAAUAUUUCUUCAGUUUUUUUUU
Molecule: long non-coding RNA, 1456 nt
Organism: Cygnus atratus (black swan)
Lineage: Eukaryota; Metazoa; Chordata; Aves; Anseriformes; Anatidae
Exons: 4
Source: RefSeq, a predicted model, not a curated record